Molecule: ribosomal RNA, 475 nt
Filed under: uncultured organism
Description: partial 16S ribosomal RNA
Rfam family: Bacterial small subunit ribosomal RNA
Source: RNAcentral
CACUCCUACGGGAGGCAGCAGUGGGGAAUAUUGCACAAUGGGCGCAAGCCUGAUGCAGCCAUGCCGCGUGUAUGAAGAAGGCCUUCGGGUUGUAAAGUACUUUCAGCGGGGAGGAAGGCGAUAAGGUUAAUAACCUUGUUGAUUGACGUUACCCGCAGAAGAAGCACCGGCUAACUCCGUGCCAGCAGCCGCGGUAAUACGGAGGGUGCAAGCGUUAAUCGGAAUUACUGGGCGUAAAGCGCACGCAGGCGGUCUGUCAAGUCGGAUGUGAAAUCCCCGGGCUCAACCUGGGAACUGCAUUCGAAACUGGCAGGCUAGAGUCUUGUAGAGGGGGGUAGAAUUCCAGGUGUAGCGGUGAAAUGCGUAGAGAUCUGGAGGAAUACCGGUGGCGAAGGCGGCCCCCUGGACAAAGACUGACGCUCAGGUGCGAAAGCGUGGGGAGCAAACAGGAUUAGAAACCCCUGUAGUCCCAUGA